RNAcentral lists this transfer RNA (69 nucleotides) under Ictidomys tridecemlineatus (thirteen-lined ground squirrel). RNAcentral's name for it is "Spermophilus tridecemlineatus (thirteen-lined ground squirrel) tRNA". It matches the Rfam family "tRNA". From Rfam's summary of the family: Transfer RNA (tRNA) molecules are approximately 80 nucleotides in length. The record is from Rfam by way of RNAcentral. Lineage: Eukaryota; Metazoa; Chordata; Mammalia; Rodentia; Sciuridae.
GGGAUUGUGGCUCAGUGGUAGAGCACUUGCCUGGCAUGUGUGAGGCCCUGGGUUCAAUCCCCAGCACCG